Molecule: ribosomal RNA, 636 nt
Filed under: Mycobacterium sp. Se2Ps_2454
Lineage: Bacteria; Bacillati; Actinomycetota; Actinomycetes; Mycobacteriales; Mycobacteriaceae
Description: bacterial SSU rRNA
Rfam family: Bacterial small subunit ribosomal RNA
Source: RNAcentral
CUGAUGCAGCGACGCCGCGUGGGGGAUGACGGCCUUCGGGUUGUAAACCUCUUUCAGCACAGACGAAGCGCAAGUGACGGUAUGUGCAGAAGAAGCACCGGCCAACUACGUGCCAGCAGCCGCGGUAAUACGUAGGGUGCGAGCGUUGUCCGGAAUUACUGGGCGUAAAGAGCUUGUAGGUGGUUUGUCGCGUUGUUCGUGAAAUCUCACGGCUCAACUGUGAGCGUGCGGGCGAUACGGGCAGACUAGAGUACUGCAGGGGAGACUGGAAUUCCUGGUGUAGCGGUGGAAUGCGCAGAUAUCAGGAGGAACACCGGUGGCGAAGGCGGGUCUCUGGGCAGUAACUGACGCUGAGAAGCGAAAGCGUGGGGAGCGAACAGGAUUAGAUACCCUGGUAGUCCACGCCGUAAACGGUGGGUACUAGGUGUGGGUUUCCUUCCUUGGGAUCCGUGCCGUAGCUAACGCAUUAAGUACCCCGCCUGGGGAGUACGGCCGCAAGGCUAAAACUCAAAGAAAUUGACGGGGGCCCGCACAAGCGGCGGAGCAUGUGGAUUAAUUCGAUGCAACGCGAAGAACCUUACCUGGGCUUGACAUGCACUGGAAACACCUAGAGAUAGGUGCCCCCUUGUGGCUGGU